AGCCUGUGAUGCAUCAAAAUUGUCCGUACCAUCUGAGAUCUUUCUGUAUCUUUGAUGACACACAAACUUGUAUAGAUUCUGAGGCUU
Molecule: non-coding RNA, 87 nt
Organism: Populus trichocarpa (black cottonwood)
Lineage: Eukaryota; Viridiplantae; Streptophyta; Magnoliopsida; Malpighiales; Salicaceae
Source: Rfam